Molecule: transfer RNA, 76 nt
Filed under: Planctomycetota bacterium
Lineage: Bacteria; Pseudomonadati; Planctomycetota
Description: Planctomycetes bacterium (groundwater metagenome) tRNA-Asp
Rfam family: tRNA
About the family: Transfer RNA (tRNA) molecules are approximately 80 nucleotides in length.
Source: RNAcentral
GGUGUCGUGGUGUAGCGGUUCUGCACGCCGGCUUGUCACGCCGGAGGUACGGGGUCGGCACCCGUCGGCACCGCCA